RNAcentral lists this ribosomal RNA (346 nucleotides) under Glutinoglossum pseudoglutinosum. RNAcentral's name for it is "partial 18S ribosomal RNA". The stretch from base 1 to 261 matches the Rfam family "Group I catalytic intron", at positions 41 to 253 of the family's 253-position model. Rfam says of the family: Group I catalytic introns are large self-splicing ribozymes. They catalyse their own excision from mRNA, tRNA and rRNA precursors in a wide range of organisms. Lineage: Eukaryota; Fungi; Ascomycota; Geoglossomycetes; Geoglossales; Geoglossaceae. The record is from RNAcentral.
GGUGGCAACGCUGUCAAUUGCGGGGACCCGUAAAGACCUUGACACCAAGCGUCUGCUNGAAACAGCGGCGUGACCGAGCUAAUAGCCCUGGGUAUGGUAAUAGUUCAAGGUAUGAGCCUGAGUGAUCGGGCGAAAUGGGCGAUCUGCAGCCAAGUCCUAAGGUCUCUGUAGGCUAUGGAUGCUGUUCACAGGCCAAAUGGCAGUGGGUGGGAGUAUCAUCUCCUGCUUAAGAUAUGGUCGGUCCCCUUGUGAAAGCUUGGGGGUAAGUUUACCGGAUAAAUUGCUUUUGUGGUUCUCAGAAAUUCCGAGUACUUUUUACGUUCCGUAGGUGAACCUGCGGAAGGAU